GCCCCCGCGCAACGCGCGGAGGGACGGGCUGCGCCGGGGGAGCCAGGCGGGCGUGAGGCCGUCUGGGGGUGGUGGCUGUGGAGAGGAGGGGGCUGCGCCUGAGGAUCGCCUGCAGGCGUCUGCACUAAACAAUAAGCAGCCGUCACCUAAUUCAGGAGCCUAAGAAGUCUAACAUCAAAGUGCUGGCAGAUUUGGUGUCUGGUUUUUUCAAAUAAGCUGUUUGCUCAAGAAAAGAAACUCAAUUUUUUCAGAUCCAGAAAGAAUAAAUCAAUUUGAAAUAUUCUUCAUAAAAUGGCUAUAAGAGGCAGCAAGUGCUAAGAAACAUGAAUUUAUGAACAUAGCCACAUGCUUUUUUCCUUUCAGUUUGAUUUAAAUUUAAUAUCCUCCCACAAUGGAAAAUCAUUUACAAUAAAGAGAUGAACUGGAAGGAAUAGGAAAAUGGAAACAAGAUGUCAUUUCUUUUACUAUCCAACAGUUUACCAUCUGUUUUAAAAUGGUGUUUGACCAUCUACAGUAAAUGAAACAAAAUGCUUUUUAAAAUAAUGUAAUACUUUAAACUAUUUUUACUACCAAACUCUCCCUCCCCUGUGAACACAUU
Zalophus californianus (California sea lion) is the source of this 598-nucleotide long non-coding RNA. RefSeq lists it as uncharacterized. Lineage: Eukaryota; Metazoa; Chordata; Mammalia; Carnivora; Otariidae. The transcript has 3 exons. The record is from RefSeq and is a predicted model, not a curated record.